UCCACGCCCUAAACGAUGUCAACUAGCCGUUGGAUCCAUUUAAGGAUUUAGUGGUGCAGCUAACGCAUUAAGUUGACCGCUUGGGGAGUACGCACGCAAGUGUAAAACUCAAAGGAAUUGACGGGGGCCCGCACAAGCGGUGGAGCAUGUGGUUUAAUUCGAUGCAACGCGAAGAACCCUACCAUCCCUUGACAUCCAGAGAAUCUGUUAGAGAUAACAGAGUGCCUUCGGGA
Molecule: ribosomal RNA, 233 nt
Filed under: uncultured bacterium
Lineage: Bacteria
Description: partial 16S ribosomal RNA
Rfam family: Bacterial small subunit ribosomal RNA
Source: RNAcentral